CGAGUUUACAACUCCCAAACCCCUGUGAACAUACCAAUUGUUGCCUCGGCGGAUCAGCCCGCUCCCGGUAAAACGGGACGGCCCGCCAGAGGACCCCUAAACUCUGUUUCUAUAUGUAACUUCUGAGUAAAACCAUAAAUAAAUCAAAACUUUCAACAACGGAUCUCUUGGUUCUGGCAUCGAUGAAGAACGCAGCAAAAUGCGAUAAGUAAUGUGAAUUGCAGAAUUCAGUGAAUCAUCGAAUCUUUGAACGCACAUUGCGCCCGCCAGUAUUCUGGCGGGCAUGCCUGUUCGAGCGUCAUUUCAACCCUCAAGCCCAGCUUGGUGUUGGGACUCGCGAGUUAAACCGCGUUCCCCAAAUUGAUUGGCGGUCACGUCGAGCUUCCAUAGCGUAGUAGUAAAACCCUCGUUACUGGUAAUCGUCGCGGCCACGCCGUUAAACCCCAACUUCUGAAUGUUGACCUCGGAUCAGGUAGGAAUA
Molecule: ribosomal RNA, 481 nt
Filed under: fungal sp. E14904J
Lineage: Eukaryota; Fungi
Description: eukaryotic LSU rRNA
Rfam family: 5.8S ribosomal RNA (bases 148-301)
Source: RNAcentral